This is a long non-coding RNA of Amphiprion ocellaris (clown anemonefish), 1381 nucleotides long. RefSeq lists it as uncharacterized. NCBI's taxonomy places the organism in Eukaryota, Metazoa, Chordata, Actinopteri, Pomacentridae. The transcript is spliced from 2 exons. The record is from RefSeq and is a predicted model, not a curated record.
CAGUGCAUUCCGUUGAUGUCGACGGCGUGAAAAUGGAAACAAGUAUGCCGUCUCACUGUGCUGCAUACAAUUACACACUACGUUGUACGAUUGAGACAAGGAAACUUGGAAUGACUUUUCAUAGGUAAGAUUAGUUUUUGGCUCUUUUUUCAUUAUGAAAUCUUGUUGAGAGCUUCCAGUCUAUGAGAGCUAACUAAUUAGCCACUAGCAAAACACUAAGGUGAGCUAGCGGCUUGACAAGCAAAUACCAGACAAUUAAUAGUAGCUGUAGUAUAGUUGUACAAGCAGUAGUAGUAUAAAAUAGCUGUUAGAGUCAUAGAAGUAGUAUCAGCAUUUGUAAUAAUAUUACAAGUUGUAGUAGCAGUGCCAGUAUCAGCAGCAGUAGUUAGUGUAGUACCACUACUACUAGUAGUAGUCACAUUGCUAUUACUACCACCAAUACUACCAAGAGCAGUUAUAAAGCCUAACUCAUAUAUAUCCAGAUUACCAUCUAUGUUCUUCCUCCAAACCCAUUUUAUGAUUGGGAUUACAGGCAGUUCUUUAGGACUGCUCUCAAAUAAUUGAAAUGUUACUAAACAAGGUUAUACUUAUCAAAUUAAAUAGCUCUGGUCUCCAGUAUAUUGGCGAAUUCGGUUCUUUGUACUUAAUUAUUUAGCAUGAUUUCUUUUUUAAUACGUUGUGUAAAGACUUAAUUACUUCUCUGUCUACUUUUCUUACUCCAUGUAGGUUUCCCAGAGACUAUGGGUUGAGGAGGAAUUGGAAGUUUGUCGGCUUAGACCUGGUGUCAUUCCAUCUGUGUUAAACUUCCCGGCUCAUCUUGGAAGAGUAUGUGCCAGAAAGACCAUGACCAAGCAGCCUUGAGAUCUUAGGCAGCGUCUCCCUCAGGUCCCUCUCUAUCUCCCCACACAUCCACCAACCACUGGAACACAUCUCCAAAGUUCUGCCGGGCCAGCUCAGCUUCCCCUCAGAAGAAGUUCCACCAGAUGAAGGAGCCUUUUGAGAGGCAGCUGGCAUCGUGAUUGGACUGUACUUUGGUCUGUUCCAAUCCAGCUUCAGCUCCAGAGACGGCAGGCGGGACGAGUCAACGGAGGCCGGGUGGAUGAAGGCAUGCAGCUGAGUACAAUCCAGAAAACAACAGAGGAGGAGUGCAGCGGCCCAGAGCCAGAACAAACAGUAGCAUCGUAUGUCUCUUAGAAAACAUCAUAGUAUAGCCUUUGGUAUGAAAAAACGCCAUCAUAUACAUCCUAUAUUGUACAAAUAACAAGUCAAAGGAAAGAGACAUCAACUGUAGAAUUGUAGUAAUUGUGGGCUGACUGAUUUACUGAUUAUCAGUAUUUUAUUUUUUACUGAUUUACGGUAAUAAAUACAUUUAAAAAUGGUG